CCUACGGGAGGCAGCAGUGGGGAAUAUUGGACAAUGGGGGGAACCCUGAACCAGCAACGCAGCGUGAGGGAAGAAGGAUUUCGGUAUGGAAAGCUCUAUCAGCAGGGAAGAAAAUGAAGGUACGUGACUAAGAAUCCACGUCUAACGAGGAGCCAGCAGCCGCGGAACUACGGAGGGUGCAAGCGUUAUCCGGAUUUACUGGGUGUAAAGGGAGCGUAGACGGUGCAGCAAGUCUGAUGUGAAAGUUCGGGGCCCAACCCCGGGACUGCAUGUGAAACUGGUGAACUGGAGUACAGGCGAGGUAGGCGGAAUUCCUAGUGUAGCGGUGAAAUGCGUAGAUAUUAGGAAGAACACCAGUGGCGAAGGCAGCUUACUGGACUGUCACUGACGUUGAGGCUCGAAAGCGUGGGGAGCAAACAGGAUUAGAUACCCGUGUAGUC
RNAcentral lists this ribosomal RNA (440 nucleotides) under uncultured bacterium. RNAcentral describes it as "partial 16S ribosomal RNA". It matches the Rfam family "Bacterial small subunit ribosomal RNA", at positions 338 to 795 of the family's 1533-position model. The record is from RNAcentral.